UUUUUAUCCAAUAUCUGUGCUUUACCUGGCAGCUUGUGUUGAAAUGUCACACUUCCAAUAGUACCAUCAUACUCCAUUGUACAAAGAGAACUUCCGUGGAUUUGGAAGCUCUCCAGCCUCAAAACCUGUGCUAGGUUUUUUGUGCAGAUCCAGCUGCAUUUGUUCAUACAUUUUAGCCCCACCCCACAUCCCAAACCCUAAAGCCAAAACAACCCCAUUUCCCCUAACAUUUCUCUGUCUCUGUCAGCAGUUUGGUUGGUAUUACUUUGGUUGGUGUGGCCCUUUUAGCAGUCCUUUAUUUAACUAGAGCUUGUACUAGUUCUUUUUUCUUCUUAUGUGUACCUAAUGAUUUCUACAGAUAAAUAAACAGAUCCCAUUUCUUGUAUUUUUCUCCUUCCCUUUUAGCACCAAAAGCUCAAAAAACAACUGCACCAACAAUACAGGUUUGGUGGCUUGGUGGGUAGUAGCACUGGAAGUGGUAGUAGUGUAUAUGGCUUAAAGCUAAAGGCCCUGUUUUUUGAGAGUUAAGGAAGCUUCAGAUCUGUUGUACAAAGUGGAAGAAAUGGAGAAAUGGGUUUGUACAAAGGCUUUUAUAACUCAUCAUUGUUGUUCUCAUCAUUAUUAGUAGUUGUAGUUCAGGAGUUGUUUUAGCUUUGACUUAAAUAGAAAGGGGGGAGAGAGAAAAAGUGAAAGAAGAAAAGGAAAUAGGAAGAAAAAAGAAGACCCAAGGACCCAAAGAACAAGAAAAAAGCUGCUUGCUUUGAAGUGGGAUUUUGGUGUCUUUUGAGUUUUUAGGAAGCUUUUGGGGUUCUUGAAAAGCUUUUGGGUUUUCAAGAAUUUGCAUUUCCUGAAAGCGUUUUGAUUUGUUGAGGUGAUUUUCAAGAAAGAAAGAGUUUUUUGAGUAGUGGGAGAGGUCAGAAAGAUGUUGGCAUUCGGGAGUCCUUGUAGCAGCAGUGAGAGGACAAGCAUUAGUUCUUGCAAUGCUAUGCUCAGAGAACUUCAGCAACUAUGGGCUGAUAUUGGUGAGACUGAAGCUGAUAAGGACCGUAUGCUGUUGGAACUGGAGAAAGAAUGCCUAGAAGUUUACAGAAGAAAGGUUGAUGAGGCUGCCAACUCCAAGGCCCGUCUUCAUCAGUCUGUUGCUGCCAAAGAAGCAGAAAUAGCCACACUAAUGGCUUCUCUUGGGCAAAUGAAUGUUAGCUCACCGGUUCAGUCAGAGAAGAAACCAUCAUCUUUGAAAGAGCAGCUUGCAUAUGUCACACCACUCGUGGAGGAUCUGAAACUAAGAAAAGAGGAACGCUUCAAGCAAUUUGCUGAUAUUAAUGCACAAAUUGAGAAGAUCACGGGUGAGAUUUUGGGAUAUAGUCACAUUAUCAAUUCAGUGAAUUCGAUGAACCUCGAUGAGCAAGACCUUUCACUAAGAAAGCUUACAGAAUACCAAUCACAUCUUCGUAACCUCCAAAAGGAGAAGUCUGAACGUCUCAAAAAGGUUUUGGAGUUUGUAAACGAAGUCCACUCCUUGUGUGGAGUGCUUGGCUUGGAUUUUGGCAAGACUGUCAGUGAAAUUCAUCCAAGUUUACAGGGAACCAGCCUGGAACAGUCUACAAAUAUCAGCGACACAACAUUAGAAGGCCUAGAACAGACGAUUCUCAGGUUAAAAACAGAGAGAAAAGUCAGACUUCAGAAGCUGAAGGAUGUUGCUGCGUCUCUAUUUGAACUUUGGAAUUUGAUGGAUGCGACAAAGGAAGAGCAGGUUAAGUUCUCGAGGAUAAAUUUCAUUCUUGGUUCAGCAGAAUCAGAUAUUGUGGAGCCGGGGGCUCUUUCACUGGAUGUUAUUCAACAGAUAACUGCAGAAGUUGAGAGACUUAAUACGCUGAAAGCGAGUAGGAUGAAGGAACUGGUCAUGAAGAGGAGGCAAGAAUUAGAGGAUAUUUGCUGUAGGACCCACAUUCAACCUGAUCCAAGCACCGCUGCUGAUAAAGCUAAAGCAAUGAUAGAUUCUGGUCUCCUGGAUCCUUGUGAACUUUUAGCAAACAUUGAAACACAGAUUAACAAAGCAACAGAAGAAGCUUUUAGUCGCAAAGAAAUUAUGGAUAGAAUUGAACGAUGGCUUUGUGCCUGUGAGGAGGAAAACUGGCUUGAAGACUACAAUCGAGAUGAAAACCGGUAUAGUGCUGGAAGAGGUGCUCACAUAAACCUUAAACGUGCAGAACGAGCUCGAGUGAUGGUCAAUAAGAUUCCAGUUAUGGUUGACAAUCUAAUUAGCAAGACGCUAGCCUGGGAGGAUGAGAAAAAGAAGUUGUUUCUUUAUGAUGGAGUGCGGUUGGCUUCAAUACUGGAGGAUUACAAACGAACCAGACAACAGAAGGAAGAGGAGAAAAAGCGAGCUAGGGAUCAAAAGAAACUCCAGGACAUGCUACUUGCAGAGAAAGAAGCCAGAUUUGGCUCCAAGCCAAGCCCAAGAAGAAGCAACAGUUUUAGAAAAGUGAAUGGUUAUCAUGCAAAUGGAAACGGAUCCGUAACUCCUUCACCUCGUAGAAACUCAAUCGGCUGUGCAACUCCAGAGCUUCUGACACCUCGUUCUUAUUCUGGUCGGCAGAAUGGUUAUUUUAAGGAAACAAGAAGGCUUUCCACUGCACCAUUGAACUUCGUCGCAAUACCAAAAGAAGAUACCAUGUCGUUUUCGUCUGUUUGUGGUUCUGAGCCAGAGUCUCCACCUCAAACCUAAAUUGAAACCAUAACUGUGUAUACCCUAAGACGAUCACUGGCAAACCAAUGCAUCAGCUUGUUUAUCAAUCUCAAACCCCAAACUGGGAAGUCAAAGCCUGUAAAAUUUGGCUUUGCUGAGUUGUGCAACUGUGCGUCUCUAUGCUGGAAAGGAGUGGCUGGAAGCUUGUGAAUAUGGAAGAAAAUGUACACUAGUGCAUGAAUCACGUAAACUUUAGCAGAUACUGGGGAAGUGGUGACUAACAUUUCAGCAUUCCGCUUGUAACAUAUUUGAUAGAUCCAACUGUUUGGUAUGGUGAAGCCGUGGUAAUGGUAGAUUGUUGUGGAUAUACUAGGCAAAUUUAGAUCUUCUCAGUUAAAGUAGGAGAUACUAAUAGUCUGUUUUGAGAGCUUUUCUUAUCACAUUUCUAUUUGCAUGUAUAUAUAGUCGGUGUGAAAGUGCAUGAGUUGAUAGAGACCUUGAAUUUUCUUUGUAGUGGAAGAUCUUUUGUACUCCAGUGUCCUUUACGACUUGAAA
Molecule: RNA transcript, 3244 nt
Organism: Coffea eugenioides
Lineage: Eukaryota; Viridiplantae; Streptophyta; Magnoliopsida; Gentianales; Rubiaceae
Gene name: 65-kDa microtubule-associated protein 6-like
Exons: 13
Source: RefSeq, a predicted model, not a curated record